RNAcentral lists this ribosomal RNA (442 nucleotides) under uncultured bacterium. RNAcentral's name for it is "partial 16S ribosomal RNA". It matches the Rfam family "Bacterial small subunit ribosomal RNA", at positions 338 to 795 of the family's 1533-position model. The record is from RNAcentral.
CCUACGGGGGGCAGCAGUGGGGAAUAUUGGGCAAUGGACGCAAGUCUGACCCAGCAACGCCGCGUGAAGGAAGAAGGCUUUCGGGUUGUAAACUUCUUUUAAGGGGGAAGAGCAGAAGACGGUACCCCUUGAAUAAGCCACGGCUAACUACGUGCCAGCAGCCGCGGUAAUACGUAGGUGGCAAGCGUUGUCCGGAUUUACUGGGUGUAAAGGGCGUGCAGCCGGGAAGACAAGUCAGAUGUGAAAUCCCGCGGCUCAACCGCGGAACUGCAUUUGAAACUGUUGAUCUUGAGUACUGGAGAGGCAGACGGAAUUCCUAGUGUAGCGGUGAAAUGCGUAGAUAUUAGGAGGAACACCAGUGGCGAAGGCGGUCUGCUGGACAGCAACUGACGGUGAGGCGCGAAAGCGUGGGGAGCAAACAGGAUUAGAUACCCCUGUAGUC